UAGAAAAUGGUGUAAAGGAAGCACGGAGAGUUUUGAUCUCUCAGGGAGGGGCUCGUAUCCCCUUUUUCUAA
This 71-nucleotide transfer RNA is filed under the name Centrobranchus nigroocellatus (roundnose lanternfish). RNAcentral's name for it is "tRNA-Gln". It matches the Rfam family "tRNA". From Rfam's summary of the family: Transfer RNA (tRNA) molecules are approximately 80 nucleotides in length. Their secondary structure includes four short double-helical elements and three loops (D, anti-codon, and T loops). Further hydrogen bonds mediate the characteristic L-shaped molecular structure. tRNAs have two regions of fundamental functional importance: the anti-codon, which is responsible for specific mRNA codon recognition, and the 3' end, to which the tRNAs corresponding amino acid is attached (by aminoacyl-tRNA synthetases). tRNAs cope with the degeneracy of the genetic code in two manners: having more than one tRNA (with a specific anti-codon) for a particular amino acid; and 'wobble' base-pairing, i.e. permitting non-standard base-pairing at the 3rd anti-codon position. RNAcentral also lists the same sequence under 2 other names. Lineage: Eukaryota; Metazoa; Chordata; Actinopteri; Myctophiformes; Myctophidae. The record is from RNAcentral.